Molecule: ribosomal RNA, 253 nt
Filed under: uncultured bacterium
Lineage: Bacteria
Description: partial 16S ribosomal RNA
Rfam family: Bacterial small subunit ribosomal RNA
Source: RNAcentral
UACAGAGGUGGCAAGCGUUGUUCGGCCUUACUGGGCGUAAAGGGCGCGUAGGCGGCCUGUUAAGUCCCGUGUGAAAUCCCUCGGCUCAACCGAGGAACUGCACGGGAAACUGGCGGGCUUGAGUUCGGGAGAGGGAAGCGGAAUUCCGGGUGUAGCGGUGAAAAGCGUAGAUAUCCGGAGGAACACCGGUGGCGAAGGCGGCUUCCUGGACCGACACUGACGCUGAGGCGCGAAAGCUAGGGGAGCAAACGGG